UACGUAGGGUGCGAGCGUUGUCCGGAAUUAUUGGGCGUAAAGAGCUCGUAGGUGGUUUGCUGCGUCCGCUGUGAAAACCCAAGGCUUAACCUUGGGCUUGCAGUGGAUACGGGCAGACUAGAGGUAGGUAGGGGAGAAUGGAAUUCCCGGUGUAGCGGUGAAAUGCGCAGAUAUCGGGAGGAACACCGGUGGCGAAGGCGGUUCUCUGGGCCUUACCUGACACUGAGGAGCGAAAGCGUGGGGAGCGAACAGG
This 253-nucleotide ribosomal RNA is filed under the name uncultured bacterium. RNAcentral's name for it is "partial 16S ribosomal RNA". It matches the Rfam family "Bacterial small subunit ribosomal RNA", at positions 524 to 776 of the family's 1533-position model. The record is from RNAcentral.